Molecule: ribosomal RNA, 408 nt
Filed under: uncultured bacterium
Lineage: Bacteria
Description: partial 16S ribosomal RNA
Rfam family: Bacterial small subunit ribosomal RNA
Source: RNAcentral
GACGAACGCUGGCGGCGUGCUUAACACAUGCAAGUCGAACGAAGUGGCGAACGGGUGAGUAACGCGUAAUCAACCUGCCCUUCAGAGGGGGACAACAGUUGGAAACGACUGCUAAUACCGCAUACUGAAGGAGGGGAUUGCGUCCGAUUAGCUAGUUGGAGGGGUAACGGCCCACCAAGGCGAUGAUCAGUAGCCUGUCUGAGAGGAUUGACGGCCACAAUGGGACUGGGGAACGGCCCAGACUCCUUCGGGGGGCAGCAGUGGGGAAUCUUCCGCAAAUGGCGAAAGGCUGACGGAGCAAAGCCGCGUGAGUGAUGACGGCCUUCGGGUUGUAAAGCUCUGUUAAUCGGGACGCGGUACCGGAAUAGAAAGCCACGGCUAACUACGUGCCAGCAGCCGCGGUAAUAC